RNAcentral lists this long non-coding RNA (1091 nucleotides) under Homo sapiens (human). Lineage: Eukaryota; Metazoa; Chordata; Mammalia; Primates; Hominidae. The record is from RNAcentral.
GUGGAAGCUCUCUGCUGGGUAGGGUUUCAUUUUCAUUUUGUGUUUCCUUCCUCUUGGAGCCCGUGCGGGCUGGUGGGGCGGCUCACUGUCAGCUCCGUGAUCCCGCGCUUGGCCGCGCGCCUGGAGAGGUGCGCCCGGGCCAGGAGCAGAGCAGGGCGCGGCGCCAGGCGGGGGCGCCCGGGGCCUGCGUGUCGUCGCGGGUGGGGGCGGGUGUCCUCGGGCGCGCACCCGCUGCGGCUGGUGUAUUGUAAGCACAAUCCCAAGGAAAUUAGUAUUAAAUAUUGUGAUCUUCAUUUCAAGAUAGAAGGGCUGGGCACGUUCCACCAAACUGGAGGUAUGUUUCCAUAGGGAAGGAGAAAAAUUCAUGGUGUAAUACAAUAUUAAAAAUGUCACCCAGCUGAGCAUUCCAUGUAGAAGCUUGUGUAGAGUUUUAAUCUCUUCACCUGUUGGUGAAAUUAGAUAGUUAUGGUGGCUGUCCUUGGUGUCACUUGGUGUAUAUGCUAAAAAACACUAAAUCGUGCACUUUAAAAGAGUGAAUUUUAUAGUAUGUGAAUUAUAUCUCAAUUAAGCUCUUACAAAAAAUAAAACUGUGAGUAGGAGGCAUUUUUAAGAGGUAACAAUAUAUAUUUCCAUCAAUACAUUGCUGAGUUCUCAUACAGCCAUAGAUAAUUGACAGAUUAGUAUAGUACAAAUAAUAUAAAAUUUGGGGUGUAAUGGCUUAAAUUUGAACCCUAGCUUUAUUACUUACUGGAUGCAUGAUGGUCUUGAACAAUUUUUUUUUUGAGACAGUGUCUCACUCUGUCACCCAGGCUGGAGUGCUGUCGCACCAUCACAGCCCUCUGAAGCCUUGAACUCUAAGGCUUAACCAAUCCUUUCGCCUCAGCCUCCUGAGUAGCUGGGACCACGGGUGCAUGCCACCAUGCCCAGUUAGUUUUUAAAUUUUUAUCGAGAUGAGGUCUUGCUAUGUUGCCCACUCUGGUCUUGAAAUCCUGUGCUCAAAGGAUCCUCCUGCCUCUGCCUCCCAAAGUGCUGGGAUUAUAGGCGUAAGCCAAUCUUGAGCAAUUUAACUCUUCUCAGCUCAUUGAUAGUAU